Long non-coding RNA from Etheostoma spectabile (orangethroat darter), 308 nucleotides. RefSeq lists it as uncharacterized. Lineage: Eukaryota; Metazoa; Chordata; Actinopteri; Perciformes; Percidae. The transcript is spliced from 2 exons. The record is from RefSeq and is a predicted model, not a curated record.
AUCUUUGGAUGAUUGGCAGCCCCAGAGUUGUAUGAUUUUUAAUAUAAUACGCCACGCAAGAAAUGGGAACUAUUCUCAGUCGCGGAUGAAUAUCGCUCGAUGACGUCUCUAGUAUAAAUUAUCCUGUCCCCCUGGCAACUGCAAGUCAUAGGAAGGGUUUUUGACAGCAAUAUAACAAUUGUUAACUGUAACAUGCAGAUCUUCGUCAAGACCCUCACUGGCAAGACCAUCACCCUGGAGGUGGAGCCCAGCGACACCAUUGAGUAACGUGAAGGCCAAGAUCCAGGACAAGGAAGGCAUCCCCCCCC